This 515-nucleotide ribosomal RNA is filed under the name uncultured bacterium. Its description in RNAcentral is "partial 16S ribosomal RNA". It matches the Rfam family "Bacterial small subunit ribosomal RNA", at positions 28 to 523 of the family's 1533-position model. The record is from RNAcentral.
GAUGAACGCUGGCGGCGUGCCUAAUACAUGCAAGUCGAGCGAAUGGAUUAAGAGCUUGCUCUUAUGAAGUUAGCGGCGGACGGGUGAGUAACACGCGGGUAACCUGCCCAUAAGACUGGAAUAACUCCGGGAAACCGGGGCUAAUACCGGAUAACAUUUUGAACCGCAUGGUUCGAAAUUGAAAGGCGGCUUCGGCUGUCACUUAUGGAUGGACCCGCGUCGCAUUAGCUAGUUGGUGAGGUAACGGCUCACCAAGGCAACGAUGCGUAGCCGACCUGAGAGGGUGAUCGGCCACACUGGGACUGAGACACGGCCCAGACUCCUACGGGAGGCAGCAGUAGGGAAUCUUCCGCAAUGGACGAAAGUCUGACGGAGCAACGCCGCGUGAGUGAUGAAGGCUUUCGGGUCGUAAAACUCUGUUGUUAGGGAAGAACAAGUGCUAGUUGAAUAAGCUGGCACCUUGACGGUACCUAACCAGAAAGCCACGGCUAACUACGUGCCAGCAGCCGCGGUAA